This 102-nucleotide Y RNA is filed under the name Propithecus coquereli (Coquerel's sifaka). RNAcentral's name for it is "Y RNA (ENSPCOG00000001516.1)". It matches the Rfam family "Y RNA". From Rfam's summary of the family: Y RNAs are components of the Ro ribonucleoprotein particle (Ro RNP), in association with Ro60 and La proteins. The Y RNAs and Ro60 and La proteins are well conserved, but the function of the Ro RNP is not known. Lineage: Eukaryota; Metazoa; Chordata; Mammalia; Primates; Indriidae. The record is from Rfam by way of RNAcentral.
UGCUGAUCUGAGUGUGGUGAUGUUUACAACUAAUUGAUCACAACCAGUUCCGGAUUCUUUUGUUCCUUCUCCACUCCCACUGCUUCACUUGACUAGCCUUAA